CUCUCUCUCUCUCUCUCUCUCUCUCUCUCUCUCUCUCUCUCCAUUGCAGCAGCCGUGAAUCUCCUACCCGAAGAAACACACGCCGUGAAGCUCCUCUCCAUAGGCUGAUGUAUUUUUAGCCCCACAGAUCAAUGUUGCCACUACAAGGUUCAAUAUUGAAAUGUGAUUAUCAGAAGCAGUGGGCCAUCAUUGAAAGAUUACCCUUGUAGUGAGUCCAAUCAAGGCUGACAAGCUAAAGAAGUCAUUGGAGAAUGAAAUUCAUUUUUUCAAGGGAAGGGUUUCACAACUUAAAAGUGAUCUUGUGUCAAAGUCUACAGAAGUUACAUCUGCAGUUUCAGGGAAAGAAGAAGCUCUAUCUUCUGCAUUUGCUGAAAUUGACCGUCUGAAGGAAGAAAAUUCAGUAAAAACGUGAGCAUUAUUGCAUUAUAUGGAGGGUGUUUACUGUGUUGGAGUGUAUUUGUUUCUUGCACAUGAGGGCACGCCUUAGUUGUAAUUCUUAUGAUAGGUUGAGCAAAGUGAAGUAUUGUUUAUUUAUAAAUGUGAAUGUGGGAUGCAUUAUAUGAUUUGAUUGCUAUUUGU
Molecule: long non-coding RNA, 579 nt
Organism: Magnolia sinica
Lineage: Eukaryota; Viridiplantae; Streptophyta; Magnoliopsida; Magnoliales; Magnoliaceae
Exons: 4
Source: RefSeq, a predicted model, not a curated record